GACGAACGCUGGCGGCGUGCUUAACACAUGCAAGUCGAACGGAAAGGCCCUGCUUUUGUGGGGUGAUCGAGUGGCGAACGGGUGAGUAACACGUGAGUAACCUGCCCUUGACUUUGGGAUAACUUCAGGAAACUGGGGCUAAUACCGGAUAGGAGCUCCUGCUGCAUGGUGGGGGUCGGAAAGUUUCGGCGGUUGGGGAUGGACUCGCGGCUUAUCAGCUUGUUGGUGGGGUAGUGGCUUACCAAGGCUUUGACGGGUAGCCGGCCUGAGAGGGUGACCGGCCACAUUGGGACUGAGAUACGGCCCAGACUCCUACGGGAGGCAGCAGUGGGGAAUAUUGCACAAUGGGCGGAAGCCUGAUGCAGCAACGCCGCGUGCGGGAUGACGGCCUUCGGGUUGUAAACCGCUUUCGCCUGUGACGAAGCGUGAGUGACGGUAAUGGGUAAAGAAGCACCGGCUAACUACGUG
This 468-nucleotide ribosomal RNA is filed under the name uncultured bacterium. RNAcentral describes it as "partial 16S ribosomal RNA". It matches the Rfam family "Bacterial small subunit ribosomal RNA", at positions 28 to 507 of the family's 1533-position model. The record is from RNAcentral.